ACCCUAUCUAAGAUUAGCCUGCAUGUCUCAGUAUAAGCUUCUAUACGGCGAAACUGCGAAUGGCUCAUUAAAACAGUUAUAGUUUAUUUGGUGGUCAGCAAUUACAUGGAUAACCGUGGUAAUUCUAGAGCUAAUACAUGCGCCCAAACCCGACUUCGUGGAAGGGUUGUGUUUAUUAGAUACAGAACCAACCCAGGCUCCGCCUGGCCUUGAGGUGAUUCAUAAUAACCGAACGAAUCGCAUGGCUAUGCCGGCGAUAGACCAUUCAAGUUUCUGACCUAUCAUCUAUCGUCGGUAGGGUAUUGGCCUACCGUGGCAAUGACGGGUAACGGAGAAUUAGGGUUCGAUUCCGGAGAGGGAGCCUGAGAAACGGCUACCACAUCUAAGGAAGGCAGCAGGCGCGCAAAUUACCCAAUCCUGACGCAGGGAGGUAGUGACAAGAAAUAACAAUACAGGGCAUACAUGUCUUGUAAUUGGAAUGAGUAAACUUUAAAUCACUU
RNAcentral lists this ribosomal RNA (500 nucleotides) under uncultured eukaryote. Its description in RNAcentral is "SSU rRNA". It matches the Rfam family "Eukaryotic small subunit ribosomal RNA", at positions 34 to 535 of the family's 1831-position model. The record is from RNAcentral.